AACGAACGCUGGCGGCAUGCCUAACACAUGCAAGUCGAACGAGACCUUCGGGUCUAGUGGCGCACGGGUGCGUAACGCGUGGGAACCUGCCCUUAGGUUCGGAAUAACUCCCCGAAAGGGGUGCUAAUACCGGAUAAUGUCUUCGGACCAAAGAUUUAUCGCCUUUGGAUGGGCCCGCGUUGGAUUAGCUAAUUGGUAGGGUAAAAGCCUACCAAGGCGACGAUCCAUAGCUGGUCUGAGGGGAUGAUCAGCCACACUGGGACUGAGACACGGCCCAGACUCCUACGGGAGGCAGCAGUGGGGAAUAUUGGACAAUGGGCGAAAGCCUGAUCCAGCAAUGCCGCGUGAGUGAUGAAGGCCUUAGGGUUGUAAAGCUCUUUUACCCGGGAUGAUAAUGACAGUACCGGGAGAAUAAGCUCCGGCUAACUCCGUG
RNAcentral lists this ribosomal RNA (433 nucleotides) under uncultured bacterium. Its description in RNAcentral is "partial 16S ribosomal RNA". It matches the Rfam family "Bacterial small subunit ribosomal RNA", at positions 29 to 507 of the family's 1533-position model. The record is from RNAcentral.